UAAAAAUCAUCAACACUAAGGGCGUGUUUGAUUUAGUAAAAGUUUUAAAAUUAAAAUGUUAAACAAGGGUUUUUAGUGUUGAUGAUUUUUAUAAAAAACUGAUGUGAUUUCUCUUUUGCAUGAAAUACUUCAGAGAAUUAGAUUCUAACUUUUCAUUACCUAUCAAUUUUUCGCAAAAAUCCUAAGCUAAUUUCAUUGUAACCCUUAUCAAAAAUAUUCCGACAGUUGGCAUUCAUCAACAUUCAAAUAUCAAAAGUCAUCAUGUUUGAGGAUAUUCAGACAUUGGUGAUCCUCUGAUUGAAUGCAUCCACUAUGGAGCGCUCAUGUGGUAUCAAGAUAGGACAAACAAACAUAUACAUACUUCAAUGUCUAAGUACCAAAAGUAAGUAUAUUACUUGUGAUUUUUUACAUUCUUUUAUUUGUGUGUAUUAGUGAUAUAAAUUUGUACAUUUGAUUUUGAACAUAAUAUUAAUCUUGUAAACUGUGUUGAUGAGAACAAUUUAAAUUUAUACAUUUGAUUUUGAAAACAAGGUAAAUCUUGUAUUAUGUGUCGAUGAGAACAAUGUUAAUUUGUGUAUUUAAAAUGAUCUGAUUCUA
Molecule: long non-coding RNA, 597 nt
Organism: Lathyrus oleraceus (garden pea)
Lineage: Eukaryota; Viridiplantae; Streptophyta; Magnoliopsida; Fabales; Fabaceae
Exons: 2
Source: RefSeq, a predicted model, not a curated record